AUGAAAAAAAAUUUUUUUAAAAAGUGAAAUUUGGGCACAGACACAUAUAGAGGGAGGAAAUGAUAAGAAGAUGAAGGCAGAGAUUCAGGGAUUUGGUGAUGCUUCUAUAAACCAAGACAAUAGGUUACCAAAGAUGACCAGUAAACCACCAAAAGCUGGGAGAUAGGCCUGGAAGGAAUUCUUCCUCACUGCCCUUACUCAGAAGGAACCAAUUUUGCUAACACUUGAUUUCAGAGGUCUAGUCUCCAGAACUGUGGGACAAUAAAGUGUUCAAACCAUCUAGUUGGUUUGAACUCUAUUGCGGCAGCCCUAAGAAACUGAUACAGAUGGCUUCGCAGACUGAUCAUGUCGUGGAGCCUGAUGAAUUGCCUCGUAGUCCUGUCUGUGACCAGAUUAUCUGUAAUCCCUAGAUCCAGUCUUUGUUCCUUUGGCAGUGCUAGAAAACUGCUCCCCAAGAAACCUUUGGGUUUCCUUUUCCUAAAUCCAAGAACAUCUUCUCUGCUCCAUUUAUACUCUUUCUUCUCAUGGGUUAAUACCGUUUAUUAUACCUCAGUUCUCUUCAUCACACUUGUUAUGUCUCAUAGUACACCUGUGUUCCUCCCGCCAAGUCUUUAUACACAUGACCCAGACUACUGAAGAAGGAGAUUUAUGAUCCCUGCCCUUUGAAAUUUUGAUUUGUAAGUUUGUGGUUGAAUCCAAGAACCAUCAUUUUUAAUAAGCACCACAGGUGCUGUUCACCUCAUCGAUUGUCUGUUGAUUCAUAUCAGUUUCUUUCUUAGAGCAUAAUCAAAAUGCCAAGCUUUGGAGACACCCAGCAUAGUCCAACUUUGGAUAAAGUCUUAACUUUAUGUAUUUAGGCAUUCCAACCCUAAGAGUUCGGAAGUAGAUGGGGUGUCAGAGCCAGCCUCAUUCAUUCACUCAUUCAACAAAGUUUUUUGAGCACUGCAUAGACAUAAAUGCCUUACCUUCUAACUGGGAGGAAAGAGCUGAUAAAUCAAUCAGUAUACUAGGCGGGCAGUCCUGUAGAAGAAAAUAAGCAGGGGAGGGAGCGUGUGAGUGCAGAGGGUCUUGUAGGCAUUGCGGUUUGCAGUGGGCCAUCCUGGGUAGGCCUCAUUGGCAGAGUGACUUGAAAGUGAGCCAUGUGGCUCUCUAGAAGUCGAGUGUCCCAGGCAAAGAGGACAGCCAGUCUAACGUCCCUGAUCAGAAGCUGAGCAUGCCUGGCAUGAGAGAGGGAGCGGUGUGACAGGGGCUGAGGUCUGAAAAGGUACGGGGAGCCAGGUCAUGCACUUACAGGGCAUUGCAAGGUCAUUGGCUUAUACUCAAGUGAGAUGGGAGCCACUGGAAGAGUCUGAGCGGUGACAUGAUCUGACUUACAUUUUUAAAGUAUCACCCAGGCUGCUGUAGGGGGAAUGGUCGCAGAAGCAGGGAGACCAGUUAGGAGAUGACUCCGGUAAUCCAGGUGAGAUGUGGAUGGCUGGGAACAGGGUGGUAGCGCCGGAUCUGGGGAGAGGUGGUUGGAUGUUGUGUAUAUUGUGAAGGCAGAACCAAUCAUUUUCUGACUGAUUGGAUGUGAAUGUUGGAGAAGAGAGACAUUAAAGAGGACUCUACUCAGGGUGAAUCUUGGAAUUUUUGCUUGGGAUGCUGAGCAGAAGCAUCCCCAAAUAAGGAAGCACAUGGUCCGCGUGUUGCUGGCAGCCAUCCUGUGUUCAUGAGGACAGCCAGCCUGAGGGUGGAGCCCAUGCCGCAUUGGCAGGGCAGAGUGGCAGGAAGAAAUUGUCCUGAGGGCGGUGCUGAGCCCUGGAGUCCACACCUGAAGCCGAAUCCACCUUUGCACUUCCAGUUACAAGAGCCAAUGAGUCCCCUUUGUUACUUUGUUAUUUGCAUCCCAAGCACUACUCUGCUGCCUAUUGGGACAUGUCUUUCAGAGGCACCAUUCACCUAAAGAAACUUCUCACAGUCCUAUCAGAACCAGCCUCCAGACCUCAGGGCUAACUUUCUCCAAAUGUUCUUUCUUAUGCCUCUCCCGUCUCAUUGGUCCCUUGGCCCAUUGUCAUCUUAAGACAAGGGUACUGCCUCAGGGGCAAGGCCAGACGAGCCGACCUGGCAGAAGGUCUGAAGUGAUUAGCCGAACAGCCCUGUUCCUCAUAGUAGUCGCUGUGCCUGCAUGUUACCAAAUGGAGAGCAGAGAUUAGGUGACUUACCCAAGAUCAAAAAGUCUUCUAUUUCAAAUCUAAGAUUAGUUUGUCUGAUUAGCCAGUCACAAUCUAUAUGUCACAGAGAAGAGAGUAGAGCUUUUCAGGAGGAGGCCACCUGGCUGGUUGCUUCACUGACGGGCAGUAUAUUGGGACAGAUAGCGCAGAUCUAAUCCUUAGCUUUACAGUUGCAAUAAUGACUGGGCCCCUUCACUCAGGGUGAUUAAGCUGAGAGGGAUUAAUUCAUCAUAGUCAAAUUUACAAGCGACUGAUGUAUAAAUCAGCUUGUCAUGUUAUUUAUAAUGGGAAAUGUUUCUCACACUUGAACUUGUGGACCCUUGCCUAUAUCCCUGUUUGGGAAAUAUUGCUUUCAUACUUACAUUAUAAGAUGAUCGCCUGACUGCAACAGAUGAUCGCCUGACUGCAACAGUCAUAAAGGUAAAACCGGUCUGGGCAUUGAUAUUACCUGGCUUUACUCUGUAAAAAGGUGGUGAUCCAGGUGAUGCUUGUGUUAAAGUUUUAUGUAUCUUUCAAAUGAAAACACAACACUUAAAGAUUUUCCUAAGGAAUUCAUGGACCUCUGAGAAUUUGAUUAAAGACUCCAAUAUGAAAAACAAUGCAAUAGGAGAAAGGCUUUGAACACUGGGGCCGGUUAUGUAUACAGGAUGCUCUAAAGCAAGUCUACUCAGGAAACCGGAUUGUAGAUCUGAAGGCAGAUUGUUGGUGUAGAAUAAGGGCAGAGGGAGUUGGCUGUUCUCAGGGAACACAGCCCUCAGACAAGGGGAGCUAGUUAUCCUAUCUGCACUUAUUCUACAAAUACUUCCGUUUAAGACUACCAGUCAUGGAGAACCGAGUUCCAUCUUUCUUCGAUUAUGGUAGAGAAGCACUGACAAAUUAUUAUUCACUAACUUCCUUUUUCCUAGACUCCUCUUGAAUCCGUGAACCCUCCCUGCCAAUGCAUCAUUUCAAGGUAAAUAGGAAGUGUGCUCUCUUCCUGACAAGGAAGGAGCUUGGACCAGAUUGGUGGAACGCCAAAGCCCAUGCAUGCUCUUUCCAGUUAGCAUGGGGCUAGUUUCUAUCAUUGAACUAAACUUACGAGGGACCCUUAUAUUUCUAUAGGAGAUGGUAAAAGCAACUUUAAAAAAAAUCUCUUCCAAUGUAGUCUACAGAGACUCUGAGAAUCCAUCAUUCUUCUCAAAUGACUUCACCUUGUGUUCUCCCCCUACUUUUAGAUCUGCCUUUAACAAACCCUCCCUUUUCCCACCUCCAGCCUCAACUGAGCAACUGGGGAGCACUCACCGCCCAUUGUCACAUAUCCCUCCUGGCUUUGGAACCAGACUGGACUAGAGCCAGACUCAGUGCUGGGCUGCCUCCAAGCAGGCUGGAGAAUGCAUCCUGUUCCCAGGCAGCGAUUCCAAGGGCAGCAUUCAAUCGCCAGUUCUUCCCUGGCCCAUCAGAGCCCGGCAAGGGCAUGUAAUCCCUUAGGCCAUUUGGCCAAUGCCUGCCUAGUAGGGUCAGAAGUGGGGGAAGGGGUGCCUGGGAAGCAAUGAGAAAUGAGAGGGCUCCCAGGGAGCAUGCCCGGAAGCCCAGGAGCAGUGCUCUGGAGUAUUCAGUCCUUGACCCAGCGCUAAGCCAGUAUUCCUUCUGAUUGGUCAGUGCCUAGGCCAUACCAGUUAUUAAAUAUUUUGUUUAUCAGCCCUGCAUCUAAGACAGGCAGCACUCAACCAAAUGGCAUAGAAGAAGCUGGAUUCAAAUGCAUGGUACAGCAGUAAGACAUUCCCAUUUUGUGCAAGGCCCAGGUUAGGUGUGUUGAGGCAGACAUUAGAGGGCGGGGAAGUUGGGUGUAGCUGGAAGCUGGAAAUCAGGGAAUGAAUGAUAUCACCUUUCUUUCAUUACUUGUAUAACCUUGGGCAAAAGAACAGCUGGGUUCUCAUUCUGGUGAUUGGAUCUCGAGCAAAUCACUUCAUCUUGUCAAAGUUAAUUCAUCUACAAGAUAGGAGGAUGGGUGGGGUGAUAGUGAGACACGGGGUUGCUUGAUGCAGGUAGGAAGUCAGGAAUGCAGCCUUAAGAACGGGUAGGUGAGGGAUGGUGUUUAUUUAUAUAUUGAGCCUUUCUGUGGAAGAAAGCAUCCGUUUUCUCCCUGUGCUUUAACAGAAUAUAUUUAGUGUUUCUAGACCAGGCCUUGGAGUUGAGCAUCUGGCAAAAGAUGGAAAAAAUAAACAGGUGUAUUCAACAUCAACCUGAUAAUUUGCCCAGAGUCUCAGUAUUUUUGCUCGAAGCAGGACGUGUCUCUUGUCAGGUCAAAUCACAAUUAAACCAUGCUUCUUUCUUCUUAGUGAAAACAAUUUUUCUCGUCAUUUAAGUUCUUACUUAUUUCUCCUCUGAAAGGCUUACAUCACGCAGCCACAUGUGACAUUGCCAUCUGAGCAUAGCGUAGGGUAUGUACAUGUCCGGCAUGGAUUAGUUCAUUAUCACUUUUUUUAGUACUUGGUAAACAAAAAAAAAAGAAUCAUUUGUUGGUUAUAUUUUUUUCUGUGCAAGUAGAAUUGCUUAAUAGAAGAAAAGGAAAUAGAGCAACUGUUACUAAAUGACCCAAAAGCAGAAGUCGAGUUCCUUUCACAUGAGUGUUCAAGUGUUUCAGCCACGUACUCUGGUCUUGGCAGCUCGGAAUUGGGGAAGGCCUGAACUGUGUCGUGCAAAGUCAAUAGUGAAGAUCUAUGAGCCAUCAGAGGAAAGCGGGCAAGAGGUGGACGUGUGGAGGUGGUGUUGAGGGUAAAUCUUGGAGCAAAACCACUCAGCAUGAGCGCCCCUUGGAACUGAGUUAUAAUCACGUAGCAGAAACACAUGCUGCAUACUUUCUAAUUUCUCAGAACACGUUGUGUUUCAGGAACUUUGUCGAAACUGGCUCUGUGCAAGACCAAACCCCUGACUGGCUGAACAGCGCUUCUUUAGGAAUUUAUUUAACAACCAUGCACAGAACUGAAUGCAAGCUCCUCACGCUAGAAUUUGCAGCCUUCCUCAGCUCACCAGCCGGCCGUGGAUGAUCUCAGCGCCUAUGCCCUGCUACGGCUUCAGCGGGGAAGUGGUGCCCGGUUACUUGAGAACAAGUGACUAUUGCUUGCCGUGCUUUUGUGUGUCUCACGAAGCUCCUUCCUCGCUCAGCAGCACGUAAUAAGGGUGUGUGAAUGUGUGGACAGUCAGAGGAUGCUUGGCUGUCUCAUCUCUGCUGCUGGAUCCCCAAUUCCUCAGGAACACUGGCUUCUGGCUGUCUUUCUAUAUGACCUCCCGCCAUCAUGACGGACUCUUCUGUGAACUGAAAGCCAUCGAGAGAGAUGCAGGCAAGAAAGAAACAGAGCAUCACGAUGCUUCAAGUGUGUCAUCUGCCAAGUUCUAAGAGGAUCAGGCCCCAGGAGAGGAGGUGGCCUCAUGGACACCAGAUGUGUGCUGCCACAGCGGGGGCCCAGAGGGACCAGCAGGACCAGCCUCCUUCAUGCCUGGGCAACACCCUCUCUUCAGCCCUCUUCUUUUCUAAAACUAAAUUGCAUUCCCUAGGCCGCUGUACUCGAUUUCCUGGCUCCCAGAAAUCUCUGGUGUGAGAGCAGGCAGAGGAAUCUCCUGGGGUGUAUUUGGAAGGAAGGGAGUAAGCUCAGGGUUGGAUAACUUCCACAAGCGGAAUCUAAAUCAGUGGGUUUUUAAUCCUGCUGCACAAUAGAAUCAUCUGGGAGCUGUUAAAAAAUUGCAACGCCCAGGCCCAGGCCAGAGAUUCAGUUCAACAGGCCUGGACAAAGGGUUUUUUUUGACAAAGGUAUUUUUGGGAGCAAUUCCCAGGCUCUUCAGAGAUGUGACUAGGGUUGAGAACACUGGUAAAGGUCCCUGUGUGCUACAUAACAAGUCCAAACCUUAUUUGUCUGCAGGAAACCCCCAAGUCUGGGCCGGUCAGGCAGCUGUGCGGGGUGGUGGAGACCUCUUUCUUCAUCCUUAAUCUACCAGAUACGCCCUCUAUGGAGUUCUAAAACUUGAGGGAGGUGGCCCUGGGUAAGAAGAACCCAAUAACGGCACCAUUCUAGUAAGGGAAGCCAGUAGAGGAGAGAGAUAAACUCAGAGCACUGGGGCGGGGUGGGGGGUGGCAGGGAGAGGGAGAGAUGAGUUGAUUUUUUUCUUUACAUCUAAAAUAAAACCCAGAGGAGGGUGGGCGGCAGACAAGAGGAGGGAAGAAAGGGAAGUGAAACAGCAGACCGAGUCAUGAACGAAAAUGAGAGAAUCCAGGAGACAGCACCCCCGCCCUGCCUCUCACACCUGUUCUUUGAGAAUCUCAGAAGGUGGAGCUUUUGACUCAAACAAUUAAAAUUGCAAGUGGCCUUCCUUGGAAAUCUGUCCCAAAUCUCUGAAUAGCUGUGGCUCUGGCAGCUGCUUUGGGACAGUUAUUUCAGUGUCCCAGAGGAAAGAUAUUUUGGGGUUUAGUCCUUGCCAGAAAUAAGAAGCCAAGGGAAAAGGAGAAACAUUACAGAAUUUCCAAAAAUAUUUUGAUAGCAAUGCAAAACUUUGUGGAGGCUUAAGGAAAAAUUAGAGUACACUCUUAUUUUAAAAAUGCCUAGUGGACUGGCUUUGUAUUUUGGCUAGUAGCUGCGUUCUGUCAUCCUCUGUUGUCAACUGCAAAAGGGCCUGUGAGUUCAGUCGCAGGUGUGGGAGUGUAUGUGUGUACGUGUGUGUGCGUGUGUACCCCGAGCUGUAUAUUGAUAGUGUUAUGAUUUGUAUGUAUGGAAUAGGUAAGGCCUAUGUAAGUUUUAAAAUAAUAUGGAACUUUGCCUGUUUGGGAACAUGAAGAAAAUGACAUCAGAUCUAAGUCUGGCAGAAAAGUGAAGCACCAAAGGCUUCGGUUAGUUAUUUCAAAUUGGACCAUGCAUCUCAAGAAACCAAACACGACCCUACCUAUCGAUGGGCAUCAGGGCAUCGUCGGCCCUUUACCACAACUCAGGGGUCUUUCGUGGUCCUGCUGGGAAAUAAUGCGCUCUGAAUGAAGCUCGUGGUUUUCCUCUUCCAGUCCUUCUUCCCUCCAUCAACUCCUGCUUCUCUUGCGUGAAAGAAGGAAAAGUCUUAAAGCGUCCAACAGUCUUAGUGGUUAAAGGACUUUGUUCCUCCCCUGUGGCCUGGCAAUAAGACAAUUUUAUGGGUUCUUAUUUUUAAUUCGCUUAAGCUAUUAGUUGUUGUUCUAUAAUAUUUUAUUUGUUAUAAUGUGCUCAUUUUCUCUGGAAGCACCUGAGGGCUGUGUUGUACAGGGUGCAAUUUUAAAAAUAAAAUAAUGUUAAUUAUGCCCCGGAGGUUGGCAGAUGUGGACUUAAGAAUUAUUGCAUUAUAAGGGUAUCCCUCAGUUAUGUGCCUGCUCAUAAAAGUCUGACCAUCAGUCAGCUUGUCCGGGCAGCCAAAACUGUAGAAUCAUUUAGGGAUCAAGGGUACCGAAAGUGCCAGAGCUUUGCUUAUCUCAGCAAAAAGGGCUUUAUGCACUUUGGGACCUUAAGUAACCAACAUUUAUGUCCAUGGUGGAAAAUGAAAGUGAAGGAUCUGAGAGAACAAGAUUUUCUUAGCAGUCAAACAUGGGAGCCCUUGGGAAGGACGGGCAGCUAGUACUGACCCUCAUUUUGCUCUGGCACUCAGCAAGUGAGCAAACAAUACCUGCUCCAUAAGGUGGGUAUUAAAAAACUGACCCCAGUGGCUUUUUUUUCUCUAAUUUUUCCUCAAUAAGGGAAAGAAAUUGUAUUUUUUUAUUUAAAGGAAGAGGGAAAAAAAGUAUUUUUAUUCAUAGGAUUAUACCUGUAGGAAUUUCAUUUCUUUGAAUUUUAAAAUAAACAUGUAAACUGCCCCAAAGCAGAGUUUUAAGUUCAUAUUGUUACUAAAUUUAAGAUUGAGUUUAAUUAAGAAAGUCUUCAAGUUGAAUUGUUAAUUGGUAAUGAUAGUUAAAAGUUUACACUUCUUCCUAGUUUAUAAAAAGCAUUCACAUGCUUGCUCACUUAACUUUCACAACAUGGAGAGGAAGAUGAGGCAGGUUUUAUUAUCUCUACUUUAUGGAUGGGGAGGCCAAGGCUCAGAAAAGUUAAGGAUCUUCCCCAAGUCACGAAACUGGUACAGGAAGCGGGUGCCUGGGUGGCUCAGUUGGUUAAGUUUCCAGGUCUGGAUUUGGGCUCAGAUCAUGAUCUCAGGGUCCUGGGAUUGAGCGCAGGGUCACCUUGGGCUCCAUGCUGGGGGGGGGGGAUCUGCUCGUGAUUUUUCUCCCCCUCCCUAUCCCUCCCCUCCGCGCUCAAGUGUGUUCUCUCUCUCAAAUAAAUAAAUAAAUCUUAAAAAAAUGCUGGUACCUGAAGAAUGUAAGUCUUUUGAUUCCAAAUCCAUGCUUUACC
Molecule: long non-coding RNA, 8581 nt
Organism: Ailuropoda melanoleuca (giant panda)
Lineage: Eukaryota; Metazoa; Chordata; Mammalia; Carnivora; Ursidae
Exons: 4
Source: RefSeq, a predicted model, not a curated record